CCUACGGGAGGCAGCAGUGAGGAAUAUUGGUCAAUGGCCGGAAGGCUGAACCAGCCAUGCCGCGUGAAGGUCAGUGCCCUAUGGGCGUUAAACCUCUUUAGGCGGGGAGCAAUGCCGGGCACGUGUGCCCGGAGGGAGAGUACCCGCAGAAUAAGCAUCGGCUAACUCCGUGCCAGCAGCCGCGGUAAUACGGAGGAUGCGAGCGUUAUCCGGAUUUAUUGGGUUUAAAGGGAGCGUAGAUGGGUUGUUAAGUCAGUUGUGAAAGUUUGCGGCUCAACCGUAAAAUUGCAAUUGAUACUGGCAGUCUUGAGUACAGUUGAGGUAGGCGGAAUUCGUGGUGUAGCGGUGAAAUGCUUAGAUAUCACGAAGAACUCCGAUUGCGAAGGCAGCUUACUAAACUGCCACUGACAUUGAUGCUCGAAAGUGUGGGUAUCAAACAGGAUUAGAUACCCGAGUAGUC
RNAcentral lists this ribosomal RNA (460 nucleotides) under uncultured bacterium. RNAcentral's name for it is "partial 16S ribosomal RNA". It matches the Rfam family "Bacterial small subunit ribosomal RNA", at positions 338 to 795 of the family's 1533-position model. The record is from RNAcentral.